Molecule: non-coding RNA, 101 nt
Filed under: Thermosinus carboxydivorans
Lineage: Bacteria; Bacillati; Bacillota; Negativicutes; Selenomonadales; Sporomusaceae
Also listed under: 1 other name
Description: Glycine sequence
Rfam family: Glycine riboswitch aptamer
About the family: This family represents the bacterial glycine riboswitch.
Source: RNAcentral
GGAUGGACCUCUGGAGAGUCCCUUUCAAUAGGGCGCCGAAGGUGCAAGUCGGGAUGCAAGUGACCGAUGAAACUCUCAGGCAAAAGGACAGAGGGCAGGCU